UACGUAUGGUGCAAGCGUUAUCCGGAUCUACUGGGUGUAAAGGGAGCGCAGGCGGCACGGCAAGCCUGAUGUGAAAGCCCGCGGCCCAACCGCGGGACUGCAUUGGGAACUACCGGGCUGGAGUGCUGGAGAGGUAGGCGGAAUUCCUAGUGUAGCGGUGAAAUGCGUAGAUAUUAGGAGGAACACCAGUGGCGAAGGCGGCCUACUGGACGGUGACUGACGCUGAGGCUCGAAAGCGUGGGGAGCAAACAGG
This 253-nucleotide ribosomal RNA is filed under the name uncultured bacterium. RNAcentral describes it as "partial 16S ribosomal RNA". It matches the Rfam family "Bacterial small subunit ribosomal RNA", at positions 524 to 776 of the family's 1533-position model. The record is from RNAcentral.